UGAGAGGCAUUUUUACGUGGCUGCCCCUGUACGAAUAAGCCACCGCCGCUGUAAAAACAGAAAGGGCUUUUCACCUCCCGCGUCCUCAAAUCCGAGCGGCAAAAUUUCUCUCCCAAAACCAUCUUCCCUCUUCUCUCCCCAAAUCGUCUCAUCCCCAAAUCGUGCACACGCCAAUAUUUCUCUCCCAAAACCCUUCUUCCCUCUUCUCUUCCAAAUCGCCCCAUCCCCAAAUCCCGAAAGUCUCUCUCUCUCCAACGACCCUCCACUCCUCAAUCGAUUGUUCCUCUCUUGCUCUCGGUCUCGAUUUUCCUCUCUCUCUCUCUAUCUCUUUCAUUGAAGAUGGUCGGUUUGUCGUCCACGCCGACAUCGACGCUGAUAGAGGUGAGUUUGGGGAUGAUCAGAUCUCUGAGUUCAAGGAGGCAUUUGGCAUGGGAAGUUGAAUGAAGCAUAAAUGAUGUUUGACGAAAUGCGUAAGAGAGGGAUAAGUGCCGCUAAUGCAAUAUUUGCUGCUUUGGUUUAUGGAGGGGAUAAGAUAGCUUGAUGUGAGUGUUUACCAUGGGCUGAUCAAGGGUUUGUUGAAGCUUAGGAAGGGAAAGGAAGACACUCAAGUGUUUAGAAUAGCACUUGUUUAGCCUAUGUUACUCUAUCCAUGUCGUGUCUCAUAGGUUUUGGCUCUUUCAUGAAUUUAGUAUUUUGAUGCUACACCAGUAUAUCUUGUCCUGAUUUUAUUAUUGUUCAAUUUCUAUAGGCUGAGACUCAACAAUACGGGGCUGAAGAGCUAUAAAGCAUUAAACAAAUACGGUGUCUGCUUAUUAUCCACUUGCCUGCUCCUUGCACUGGAGGGGCGCAUGGGGAAGAAUUUCCAAUCCGCUAAAGUUGCUGCAAAUCUUUAGUCGCGGUUCUGGCUCUUAUGCAGCGGUUGC
Molecule: long non-coding RNA, 923 nt
Organism: Magnolia sinica
Lineage: Eukaryota; Viridiplantae; Streptophyta; Magnoliopsida; Magnoliales; Magnoliaceae
Exons: 3
Source: RefSeq, a predicted model, not a curated record